ACGCACGCUGGCGGCGUGCUUAACCCAUGCCCGUCGAACGGAAAGGCCCUGCUUUUGUGGGGUGCUCGAGUGGCGAACGGGUGAGUAACACGUGAGUAACCUGCCCUUGACUUUGGGAUAACUUCAGGAAACUGGGGCUAAUACCGGAUAGGAGCUCCUGCUGCAUGGUGGGGGUUGGAAAGUUUCGGCGGUUGGGGAUGGACUCGCGGCUUAUCAGCUUGUUGGUGGGGUAGUGGCUUACCAAGGCUUUGACGGGUAGCCGGCCUGAGAGGGUGACCGGCCACAUUGGGACUGAGAUACGGCCCAGACUCCUACGGGAGGCAGCAGUGGGGAAUAUUGCACAAUGGGCGGAAGCCUGAUGCAGCAACGCCGCGUGCGGGAUGACGGCCUUCGGGUUGUAAACCGCUUUCGCCUGUGACGAAGCGUGAGUGACGGUAAUGGGUAAAGAAGCACCGGCUAACUACGUG
This 467-nucleotide ribosomal RNA is filed under the name uncultured bacterium. RNAcentral's name for it is "partial 16S ribosomal RNA". It matches the Rfam family "Bacterial small subunit ribosomal RNA", at positions 29 to 507 of the family's 1533-position model. The record is from RNAcentral.